CCUACGGGCGGCUGCAGUGGGGAAUAUUGGACAAUGGGCGAAAGCCUGAUCCAGCCAUGCCGCGUGUGUGAAGAAGGCCUUCGGGUUGUAAAGCACUUUCAGUGGGGAAGAAAGCCUUGGGGCUAAUACCCUCGAGGAAGGACAUCACCCACAGAAAAAGCACCGGCUAACUCCGUGCCAGCAGCCGCGGUAAUACGGAGGGUGCGAGCGUUAAUCGGAAUUACUGGGCGUAAAGCGCGCGUAGGCGGUCUGAUAAGCCGGUUGUGAAAGCCCCGGGCUCAACCUGGGAACGGCAUCCGGAACUGUCAGGCUAGAGUGCAGGAGAGGAAGGUAGAAUUCCCGGUGUAGCGGUGAAAUGCGUAGAGAUCGGGAGGAAUACCAGUGGCGAAGGCGGCCUUCUGGACUGACACUGACGCUGAGGUGCGAAAGCGUGGGUAGCAAACAGGAUUAGAUACCCGUGUAGUC
This 465-nucleotide ribosomal RNA is filed under the name Vreelandella stevensii. Its description in RNAcentral is "partial 16S ribosomal RNA". It matches the Rfam family "Bacterial small subunit ribosomal RNA", at positions 338 to 795 of the family's 1533-position model. Lineage: Bacteria; Pseudomonadati; Pseudomonadota; Gammaproteobacteria; Oceanospirillales; Halomonadaceae. The record is from RNAcentral.